AGGGGAUUAGUUUAAUGGUAGAACGGAGGACUCCAAACCCUCAUAUACGGGUUCGAUUCCUGUAUCCCCUGCCA
Molecule: transfer RNA, 74 nt
Filed under: [Mycoplasma] anseris
Lineage: Bacteria; Bacillati; Mycoplasmatota; Mycoplasmoidales; Metamycoplasmataceae
Description: Mycoplasma anseris tRNA-Trp
Rfam family: tRNA
About the family: Transfer RNA (tRNA) molecules are approximately 80 nucleotides in length. Their secondary structure includes four short double-helical elements and three loops (D, anti-codon, and T loops). Further hydrogen bonds mediate the characteristic L-shaped molecular structure. tRNAs have two regions of fundamental functional importance: the anti-codon, which is responsible for specific mRNA codon recognition, and the 3' end, to which the tRNAs corresponding amino acid is attached (by aminoacyl-tRNA synthetases). tRNAs cope with the degeneracy of the genetic code in two manners: having more than one tRNA (with a specific anti-codon) for a particular amino acid; and 'wobble' base-pairing, i.e. permitting non-standard base-pairing at the 3rd anti-codon position.
Source: RNAcentral